Lolium rigidum is the source of this 260-nucleotide long non-coding RNA. RefSeq lists it as uncharacterized. The record is from RefSeq and is a predicted model, not a curated record. The transcript has 2 exons. NCBI's taxonomy places the organism in Eukaryota, Viridiplantae, Streptophyta, Magnoliopsida, Poales, Poaceae.
GGGCGGCCAGCCAGAUACAAUACAGCAACAAGAAAGAUUCUUUCCCCCCCUCCAGCCCCUGCCAUCGGGUCCGCCGGCGGCGAGCCACAAUGGCGGCCUCCCCCAUCGACUCCGCCUGGGAGUCCCUGAUCGGCAACUUCAGCGAGUUCCAGCUGGCCAGCGUCGUGACCUUCGUCCUGCACGAGAGCGUCUUCUUCCUCUCCGGCAUCCCGUCCCUCCUCUUCGAGCGAUUCGGACUCUUCGCCAAGUACAAGAUCCAG